Molecule: long non-coding RNA, 861 nt
Organism: Fukomys damarensis (Damara mole-rat)
Lineage: Eukaryota; Metazoa; Chordata; Mammalia; Rodentia; Bathyergidae
Source: Ensembl
GUGGGGAGCUGUGGCCAUAGAGUGGGAAAGGAGACCACUUUCAAAAUCAUAGCCGUCAGUCUUCUCUCCCUUUCUGAUUUGCUUCUCCAUCACUGAUACCAGUGGAAGCCGGAGGAGGAAGAGGCCAAAAUGACGCACUCCAUGGAAGUCUGUCUGCAAGGCAAAGGACAGACAGAACUGGGUUGAAAACUUAUUUAGGUAAGAAGAGACUAAUCCGUCUAAUAUGUCACAAAUAUGCCAUACAUCUGUUGGAAACUUUCCUAGAAAUGCAAUCUCAGUAUCAAUAGGAAGAAAAGAGCUACCUAAGCAUCCCCUUGAUAUCUGUUCUCCUGCUCUGCCAGGGUAUGCAGUGCUCCCUCACUGAAAAAACUGCUCAGAAUUAAGACUACAUUUCCCAGCCUCCCUUUGGCCAAAGUGAUGUCAGAGGAAGUGUCAGGUGACGGCUUCUAAGGAGCUUCUCUGAGGUCGGCUGACUUGGGCUAUUUACCCCUCAUGGUUUACUCCUUCCUGAGGUUCACUGGCUGCCCAGGACCACACCAUUUGCAUGGUAUGACUUCAGCAAGUCCCAUGGGCUUUACCCUUCUAUCGAUGUGGACCCAAAUGCCCUCAGCAUCACCCUUCUUCCGGCUGCCCUCGUGUUUCACACUGGCUGCUGCAGUGGUGGCGGUCUUCCUGCUUUGGCAUUGCACUGCCUCCUGGUUGCCUGCCUCACUCCCUGUUUAUAACGUCUCAGAUUUGACGCAUCAAGCCUUUACUGAUUGUAUGUUUCUCCUCGAUCACACCAUUUAGUCACCCUCUUUGCAUUUGUCUGCUGUGCCCACCCAGGUAAGCAAGCAUUUCCCCUGAUGAUUAUCGUAAUGA